GUAUAGGUCAGUGGUAGAGUGAAUGCCUAGCAUGCAUGAGGUCCUGGGUUCAAUCCCCAGUAC
Molecule: transfer RNA, 63 nt
Filed under: Camelus bactrianus (Bactrian camel)
Lineage: Eukaryota; Metazoa; Chordata; Mammalia; Artiodactyla; Camelidae
Also listed under: 2 other names
Rfam family: tRNA
About the family: Transfer RNA (tRNA) molecules are approximately 80 nucleotides in length. Their secondary structure includes four short double-helical elements and three loops (D, anti-codon, and T loops). Further hydrogen bonds mediate the characteristic L-shaped molecular structure. tRNAs have two regions of fundamental functional importance: the anti-codon, which is responsible for specific mRNA codon recognition, and the 3' end, to which the tRNAs corresponding amino acid is attached (by aminoacyl-tRNA synthetases). tRNAs cope with the degeneracy of the genetic code in two manners: having more than one tRNA (with a specific anti-codon) for a particular amino acid; and 'wobble' base-pairing, i.e. permitting non-standard base-pairing at the 3rd anti-codon position.
Source: Rfam by way of RNAcentral